Molecule: microRNA precursor, 128 nt
Filed under: Trialeurodes vaporariorum (greenhouse whitefly)
Lineage: Eukaryota; Metazoa; Arthropoda; Insecta; Hemiptera; Aleyrodidae
Description: microRNA mir-240
Source: RNAcentral
UAAAAAUGAAAACUAAGGUGUUUUUUGCCAAAUCAAAAUUUGGGGCUUCAAUUGCAGAAUUGGCGCGAUUCCAUAGUUUGAGCCAAUUGAAGCCCCCAAAUUUUGAUUUGGCAAAAAACACCUUAGUU